UUGAAAGGGAAACGAUUGAAGUCAGUCGUACCGACGGAGGAUCAACCUUUGAAGCGGGUCGAGGUAUUCGAGGAGUUUAAAAGCCCUCUUGCGCUCACGUACUUCGUUUUCUUUGGUGCACUUCUUCGUAUGGUAGGUUAACAUCAAUUUUGGACGUUACAAAAUGAUCGGGGGAAUGUAGCUUCGAUUUUUUCGAAGUGUUAUAGACCUUGGUAGAUGUGACGACCGGGAUUGAGGAUUGCAACGAAUGCUUUCGGGCUAUCCGUCUGACCUCUGGUGGUUGCUUUAGGGUCGAAAGCGUGCUUACGACUUUAAAGUUGGCUAUCAAAAGGCUAGAACGUGAUUAAAUUCGUUAAGGAUGUUGACGUA
This 369-nucleotide ribosomal RNA is filed under the name uncultured Glomeromycotina. RNAcentral's name for it is "LSU rRNA". The record is from RNAcentral. Lineage: Eukaryota; Fungi; Glomeromycota.